AUGUCACUCUGGAAGAUCCUGAGGGAGAGGCCACAACUAUGAUUCUAAGCUGAGAAUCAACUGAACUAGCCCCUUCGGCCCAUCAGGCCUGUGCUAGCCCAGGAGGAGUCCCUUCGGCCCAUCAGAUCUUGAGGAAUACUUCUAGCAAUGGAGCUUCCUGUGAAGUCUUCCCUAUAUAAACAAGCCUUUCUAGGAUGGAUUUCUGGAAUCUAUCCACACCGGUACCUGUCUGGUCAGUGUGUGAAGGUGUUGUUGUGAUUGUCUAUUGUGUAGCCUUCAGUGUUCAGCAGCCAGUGAUUGUUUCCUGUUUUUCUCACUCAAACAAUGGUGGGAAAGGCUUCCCCUCUGUGACUAGGCCUCGGGGUUAAUGGAACAAAGAGGAAAAAGUCCUCCCAUUGUCUGCAAUUCAGUAAUCGUACUCUUUUCCUCCGUUUUAAAAUUACUUUAAGGAUAAUAAAAAUGUAAACGUCUGGAAACUGUAUCAGUGCACAUUAUGAUCUCAAAGCCAGGGCCUUCUAACCUUUCAGGCUGUGAACAUAUCUCCAGGAAUUAAAGACAAACUCCCAGAACAGCAUAAGGAGAAAACAAUUUUAAAGUCAUUAAAAAAAAUUGCUUAUUUUUAUUCUCUUCAAUCAUUUUUGUUCAUUGGUUAAAAGAGCAUGGGACGUGGAAAUAAAAGUGCUGUUUGAAUGGCCAUGAAUCAUCCAAGUUGGUGGGAGGAACAUGGCCAAUUACAGUGGGCUAAUGGAGGCAGCAGAUCAUGUGGUAAAACUUCCAAGAACUUGUCCAAUCGAUAUUCUUUUUCUGAUGGAAUCCUCUUCUGUCCCAUGUGAUUUUCUCACUUUGGC
Long non-coding RNA from Leucoraja erinaceus (little skate), 848 nucleotides. RefSeq lists it as uncharacterized. The transcript has 3 exons. The record is from RefSeq and is a predicted model, not a curated record. NCBI's taxonomy places the organism in Eukaryota, Metazoa, Chordata, Chondrichthyes, Rajiformes, Rajidae.